RNAcentral lists this ribosomal RNA (930 nucleotides) under Penicillium sp. RNAcentral's name for it is "eukaryotic LSU rRNA". It matches the Rfam family "Eukaryotic large subunit ribosomal RNA", at positions 36 to 982 of the family's 3401-position model. The record is from RNAcentral. Lineage: Eukaryota; Fungi; Ascomycota; Eurotiomycetes; Eurotiales; Aspergillaceae.
ACACAUAUCAAUAAGCGGAGGAAAAGAAACCAACAGGGAUUGCCUCAGUAACGGCGAGUGAAGCGGCAAGAGCUCAAAUUUGAAAGCUGGCUCCUUCGGGGUCCGCAUUGUAAUUUGCAGAGGAUGCUUCGGGAGCGGCCCCCAUCUAAGUGCCCUGGAACGGGCCGUCAUAGAGGGUGAGAAUCCCGUCUGGGAUGGGGUGCCCGCGCCCGUGUGAAGCUCCUUCGACGAGUCGAGUUGUUUGGGAAUGCAGCUCUAAAUGGGUGGUAAAUUUCAUCUAAAGCUAAAUACUGGCCGGAGACCGAUAGCGCACAAGUAGAGUGAUCGAAAGAUGAAAAGCACUUUGAAAAGAGAGUUAAACAGCACGUGAAAUUGUUGAAAGGGAAGCGCUUGCGACCAGACUCGCUCGCGGGGUUCAGCCGGCCUUCGGGCCGGUGUACUUCCCCGCGGGCGGGCCAGCGUCGGUUUGGGCGGCCGGUCAAAGGCCCUCGGAAUGUAACGCCCCCCGGGGCGUCUUAUAGCCGAGGGUGCCAUGCGGCCAGCCCGGACCGAGGAACGCGCUUCGGCUCGGACGCUGGCAUAAUGGUCGUAAGCGACCCGUCUUGAAACACGGACCAAGGAGUCUAACAUCUACGCGAGUGUUCGGGUGUCAAACCCGUGCGCGCAGUGAAAGCGAACGGAGGUGGGAACCCCUCGGGGUGCACCAUCGACCGAUCCUGAUGUCUUCGGAUGGAUUUGAGUAAGAGCGUAGCUGUUGGGACCCGAAAGAUGGUGAACUAUGCCUGAAUAGGGCGAAGCCAGAGGAAACUCUGGUGGAGGCUCGCAGCGGUUCUGACGUGCAAAUCGAUCGUCAAAUUUGGGUAUAGGGGCGAAAGACUAAUCGAACCAUCUAGUAGCUGGUUCCUGCCGAUUCCCCCCUCUCCAGGAACC